CGUUGGCCCUCCAAAGGUCAACACCGAAGAGGCUUGUUUAUCAUUGCCAGGCGUGCGGACGGGAAUCUCCCAUCCAAUCCAAGGCAGCAUCGUCGGGUGAAGAGCCCAUCUCACGCUUCUCGUGUCUCCAUCGCACGAAGCGGGAUGCAUCUUCCCU
This is a regulatory RNA element of Microvirga vignae, 157 nucleotides long. It matches the Rfam family "speF leader". Rfam says of the family: This family is a putative regulatory RNA structure that is found upstream of the speF gene encoding ornithine decarboxylase in Agrobacterium tumefaciens and other alpha-proteobacteria. Lineage: Bacteria; Pseudomonadati; Pseudomonadota; Alphaproteobacteria; Hyphomicrobiales; Methylobacteriaceae. The record is from Rfam.